GCCAGGCAUUGUGGUGGGCGCCUGUUGUCCCAGCUACUUGGGAGGCAGAGGCAGGAGACUCACUUGAGCCCAGGAGUUGGAGGUUGCUGUGAGCUGUGAUGCCAUGGCACUCUACCCAGGGGGAUAGCUUGAGGCUCUGUCUCAAAAAAAAAGAGACAGAGUCUUACUUUAUCACCCUCGGUAGAGUACUGUGGCGUCACAACUCACAGCAACCUCCAGCUCCUGGGUUUAGGCGAUUCUCUUGC
RNAcentral lists this small RNA (245 nucleotides) under Otolemur garnettii (small-eared galago). RNAcentral describes it as "Metazoan signal recognition particle RNA (ENSOGAG00000031554.1)". The record is from RNAcentral. Lineage: Eukaryota; Metazoa; Chordata; Mammalia; Primates; Galagidae.